AUACGGAGGGUGCAAGCGUUAAUCGGAAUUACUGGGCGUAAAGCGUACGUAGGCGGUCCGUUAAGUUAGAUGUGAAAGCCCCGGGCUUAACCUGGGAACUGCAUUUAAAACUGACGAACUAGAGUUGAGUAGAGGGGAGUGGAAUUUCAGGUGUAGCGGUGAAAUGCGUAGAGAUCUGAAGGAACACCAGUGGCGAAGGCGACUCCCUGGACUCGAACUGACGCUGAGGUACGAAAGCGUGGGUAGCAAACGGGAUUAGAAACCCGAGUAGUCC
Molecule: ribosomal RNA, 274 nt
Filed under: uncultured bacterium
Lineage: Bacteria
Description: partial 16S ribosomal RNA
Rfam family: Bacterial small subunit ribosomal RNA
Source: RNAcentral